This 641-nucleotide unclassified non-coding RNA is filed under the name Hevea brasiliensis (rubber tree). The record is from RNAcentral. Lineage: Eukaryota; Viridiplantae; Streptophyta; Magnoliopsida; Malpighiales; Euphorbiaceae.
AGCACCUCCAGGGGUUCACACUCGUCUCUCUCUCUCAAUUCCCUUCCCUCUCCGACACCGGCUACUGCGACGGCGACGCGGCUCCUCUGGGGGCAGGACCACGCGACGGCGCAACCCAGUUCAGAUCUGCAAUAGUACCCACCUCCGGCGUUUGAUCACCUACGCAACAACCUAUCCCGGCGACUCUCGGAUCUGCAACGACCUAACCCUCGGGUCACUAGAUCUGCUACAGACACUCCUCGACGGCCCGAUCUGCGACGGAAAAUCAUUUCGGAGACGAUCGAGACUCACGGUAACUAUCUCAGUGCGUUCGUUCUCCUUCAUUUUCGAUUCAGCAAGAUUCAAGUCGGCAGCGACGUCUUCAGGAACUCGAACCAUUAGGAAUUGAAGCGCAUUAAGGACCAUAGAAGUAUGAAGCCAAUUUUUUGUGGAAACUUCGAGUAUGAUGCUCGGCAGCCUGAUCUGGAAAGACUUUUUAGUCGAUAUGGAAAAGUUGAUAGAGUAGAUAUGAAAUCCGGGUUUGCUUUUAUCUACAUGGAGGAUGAGAGAGAGGCUGAGGAUGCUAUCCGUGCACUCGAUCGGAGAGAAUUUGGCCGAAAGGGCCGCAGACUACGUGUUGAGUGGACCAAACAAGAGCGUGG